Aethalodelphis obliquidens (Pacific white-sided dolphin) is the source of this 465-nucleotide long non-coding RNA. RefSeq lists it as uncharacterized. NCBI's taxonomy places the organism in Eukaryota, Metazoa, Chordata, Mammalia, Artiodactyla, Delphinidae. The transcript has 2 exons. The record is from RefSeq and is a predicted model, not a curated record.
AAGGCAGGACGUCAGUCGGUGCUUUGCCGAUUCCAACAGGCAUCCUGGUAUUUUUGUGGCUCGAGUUGAACGAACCAGCGUCAGCCCUCCUUCAAAGAGGCGGUCACACCCACCCCGUUUGGUGCUGACCCUGCAAAGGCAUCAGAAGGAAAAAGAGGUCUUACUACCAAUUACCUCAUGCUCGGGAGGAUGACACAAUCAUUCCAUGACUGCGACUCUGCAGGCUGGCCCAAGCAUGCUUCUCGUCCUCUCCCCUGUUCCCGAAGUCUCCCGCUACCAGCCUAUCCGUCAUCCGCAUUCCUGCCUCUAGCCUCAUGCCAAAGGAGACAUUCCAGCCCAGAGGAUAAACAUGGCAGUUUGAUACUGAUUUGUUGUACAUUGCUUUAAACGACUGUAUUUCUUGAGGAUGGUUAGUCACCCCUAUGCUAAACUCUGGGAGGGAGAAAAUAAAAGGAUAAAGACUGA